UAGGGAAUCUUCGGCAAUGGGGGGUACCCUGACCGAGCAACGCCGCGUGAGUGAAGAAGGUUUUCGGAUCGUAAAGCUCUGUUGUUAAGGAAGAACGAGUGUGAGAAUGGAAAGUUCAUACUGUGACGGUACUUAACCAGAAAGGGACGGCUAACUACGUGCCAGCAGCCGCGGUAAUACGUAGGUCCCGAGCGUUGUCCGGAUUUAUUGGGCGUAAAGCGAGCGCAGGCGGUUAGAUAAGUCUGAAGUUAAAGGCAGUGGCUCAACCAUUGUAGGCUUUGGAAACUGUUUAACUUGAGUGCAGAAGAGGAGAGUGGAAUUCCAUGUGUAGCGGUGAAAUGCGUAGAUAUAUGGAGGAACACCGGUGGCGAAAGCGGCUCUCUGGUCUGUAACUGACGCUGAGGCUCGAAAGCGUGGGGAGCGAACAGG
Molecule: ribosomal RNA, 429 nt
Filed under: Bacteroidota bacterium
Lineage: Bacteria; Pseudomonadati; Bacteroidota
Description: Bacteroidetes bacterium partial 16S ribosomal RNA
Rfam family: Bacterial small subunit ribosomal RNA
Source: RNAcentral